GAUUUCUGGCACGAUGUACCUGUCCCGCUGCGGUCAACGCAUGUGAGUGACGGAGUAUGUUUGCCAUCCUUCUAGAGAGCACAAGCUAUCCUUUACUGGACCGGUUUGUGUCAUCUAGAUCUUUUACUUUGAAAAAAUUAGAGUGUUUCAAGCAGGCGUUUUUUGCUAUGAAUACAUUAGCAUGGAAUAAUGAGUUAGGACUUCGGUUCUAUUUUGUUGGUUUCUAGGACUGAAGUAAUGAUUGAUAGGGAUAGUUGGGGGUGCUAGUAUUCAGCGGCCAGAGGUGAAAUUCUUGGAUUCGCUGAAGACUAACUUAUGCGAAAGCAUU
This 328-nucleotide ribosomal RNA is filed under the name Allapsidae sp. Its description in RNAcentral is "SSU rRNA". The stretch from base 57 to 328 matches the Rfam family "Eukaryotic small subunit ribosomal RNA", at positions 685 to 955 of the family's 1831-position model. Lineage: Eukaryota; Cercozoa; Glissomonadida; Viridiraptoridae. The record is from RNAcentral.